UUACCUACCCUUGACAUGUACGGAAUUCCGCUGAGAGGUGGAAGUGCCCGAAAGGGAGCCGUAACACAGGUGCUGCAUGGCUGUCGUCAGCUCGUGUCGUGAGAUGUUGGGUUAAGUCCCGCAACGAGCGCAACCCUUGUCCCUAGUUGCUACGCAAGAGCACUCCAGGGAGACUGCCGGUGACAAACCGGAGGAAGGUGGGGAUGACGUCAAGUCCUCAUGGCCCUUAUGGGUAGGGCUUCACACGUCAUACAAUGGUCGGAACAGAGGGUUGCCAAGCCGCGAGGUGGAGCCAAUCCCAGAAAACCGAUCGUAGUCCGGAUCGCAGUCUGCAACUCGACUGCGUGAAGCUGGAAUCGCUAGUAAUCGCGGAUCAGCAUGCC
This 383-nucleotide ribosomal RNA is filed under the name Burkholderia sp. CAS7. RNAcentral's name for it is "bacterial SSU rRNA". It matches the Rfam family "Bacterial small subunit ribosomal RNA", at positions 971 to 1358 of the family's 1533-position model. The record is from RNAcentral. Lineage: Bacteria; Pseudomonadati; Pseudomonadota; Betaproteobacteria; Burkholderiales; Burkholderiaceae.